UCCUUUGUGGUGUAGUGGUCAGCACGCUCGAUGCGUAACCGAGAGGUCCGUGGUUCGAUUCCCGGUGAAGGCG
This 73-nucleotide transfer RNA is filed under the name Stegodyphus mimosarum. It matches the Rfam family "tRNA". Rfam says of the family: Transfer RNA (tRNA) molecules are approximately 80 nucleotides in length. Their secondary structure includes four short double-helical elements and three loops (D, anti-codon, and T loops). Lineage: Eukaryota; Metazoa; Arthropoda; Arachnida; Araneae; Eresidae. The record is from Rfam by way of RNAcentral.